GUAGUACUGGGACUCUAACCAUAGGCCAUGAAUCUGGUCUUGGGACACUGUCAGGCGGGCAGUUUGACUGGGGCGGUCGCCUCCCAAAAGGUAACGGAGGCGCUCAAAGGUUCGCUCAGUACGGUCGGAAAUCGUACGUAGAGUGUAAAGGCAAAAGAGAGCUUGAUUGCAAGACAUACAGGGCGAGCAAGGAUGAAAAUCGGACUUAGUGAUCCGGUGGUUCUGCGUGGAAGGGCCAUCGCUCAACGGCUAAAAGCUACCCUGGGGAUAACAGGCUUAUCUCCACCAAGAGUCCACAUCCACGUGGAGUUUCGGCCCCUACAUGUCGUCUCCUCACACCCUGGGUCCGGUGUUGGUC
Molecule: ribosomal RNA, 358 nt
Filed under: Clostridioides difficile
Lineage: Bacteria; Bacillati; Bacillota; Clostridia; Peptostreptococcales; Peptostreptococcaceae
Description: bacterial LSU rRNA
Rfam family: Bacterial large subunit ribosomal RNA
Source: RNAcentral